RNAcentral lists this ribosomal RNA (899 nucleotides) under Leucobacter aridicollis. Its description in RNAcentral is "bacterial SSU rRNA". It matches the Rfam family "Bacterial small subunit ribosomal RNA", at positions 139 to 1049 of the family's 1533-position model. The record is from RNAcentral. Lineage: Bacteria; Bacillati; Actinomycetota; Actinomycetes; Micrococcales; Microbacteriaceae.
UGGGAUAAGCACUGGAAACGGUGUCUAAUACUGGAUACGACCCUAUCACCGCAUGGUGUGUGGGUGGAAAGAUUUAUCGGUUUUGGAUGGACUCGCGGCCUAUCAGCUAGAUGGUGAGGUAAUGGCUCACCAUGGCGACGACGGGUAGCCGGCCUGAGAGGGUGACCGGCCACACUGGGACUGAGACACGGCCCAGACUCCUACGGGAGGCAGCAGUGGGGAAUAUUGCACAAUGGGCGCAAGCCUGAUGCAGCAACGCCGCGUGAGGGAUGACGGCCUUCGGGUUGUAAACCUCUUUUAGUAGGGAAGAAGCGAAAGUGACGGUACCUGCAGAAAAAGCACCGGCUAACUACGUGCCAGCAGCCGCGGUAAUACGUAGGGUGCAAGCGUUGUCCGGAAUUAUUGGGCGUAAAGAGCUCGUAGGCGGCUUGUCGCGUCUGCUGUGAAAUCCCGGGGCUCAACCCCGGGCCUGCAGUGGGUACGGGCAAGCUAGAGUGCGGUAGGGGAGAUUGGAAUUCCUGGUGUAGCGGUGGAAUGCGCAGAUAUCAGGAGGAACACCGAUGGCGAAGGCAGAUCUCUGGGCCGCUACUGACGCUGAGGAGCGAAAGCAUGGGGAGCGAACAGGAUUAGAUACCCUGGUAGUCCAUGCCGUAAACGUUGGGAACUAGAUGUAGGGCCUGUUCCACGGGUUCUGUGUCGUAGCUAACGCAUUAAGUUCCCCGCCUGGGGAGUACGGCCGCAAGGCUAAAACUCAAAGGAAUUGACGGGGGCCCGCACAAGCGGCGGAGCAUGCGGAUUAAUUCGAUGCAACGCGAAGAACCUUACCAAGGCUUGACAUAGCCGAGAACGCUGUAGAGAUACAGAACUCUUUGGACACUCGGUUACAGGUGGUGCAUGGU